This 27-nucleotide non-coding RNA is filed under the name Macaca fascicularis (crab-eating macaque). Lineage: Eukaryota; Metazoa; Chordata; Mammalia; Primates; Cercopithecidae. RNAcentral also lists the same sequence under 2 other names. The record is from RNAcentral.
UAUGACGUGGAGAAGAACAACAGCCGC